Non-coding RNA from Paramuricea clavata, 661 nucleotides. NCBI's taxonomy places the organism in Eukaryota, Metazoa, Cnidaria, Anthozoa, Malacalcyonacea, Plexauridae. The record is from the annotation of a GenBank genome assembly.
GCUUCACAAAAAAAUUUGGACCAAUUUCGCGAAAAAAUCUCGCACCCUGGCCCUAUUUCUGGCUAUACGUCUGUGUUAAUCGUAAUUGAUCAACUGAAUCAAUUCCAUCUUUAAUAGUUUGACUUUGGGGGGAGGGACGUAAAUUUAGAGCCCGCCGUGAACAUUGUGGGCUCUGUGGUUUCUUUUUAAGAGAGCUUAUUGAGGCAGAGAUUUUCUGCGAACCAACAUCAAGGUGGCAGACCAAAUUUUGACAACGCAAUUUCAGGGCACUAAGCUUUGAAAGGAAGUACAGAAUAAAAAUUGUGGUACCAUGCAAAAAAGUGCGAGGGGCAAGGCACGCAUAUAUUUACCACUAAAAGACCUAGAACUGCCUGUUACUAAAUAGUCUAUGCAAAGAGCCACAGCGGUAAUUCUCAUAUACUGUACUUUCAAGACAUUUCCCCUGAGACAACACUCGAACAUUUAUGAAAGACGCAUAGACUAAAUGUCUUACCGUUUGAUCCUGUAAAGAAGUAAGCGACUGUCAAAAAUGUUGAAAUUAUAGUAAACUUCAUUAUGUAGUUGGUGUUCACCUGUUACUGCUGAUCUCCACAAGUACUACGGUAUAUACCUGUUUUUCAAAGCAAACUGCAUGCUUUUUAAAUAUGUUUCUCUCAAGCAU